Molecule: long non-coding RNA, 432 nt
Filed under: Androctonus crassicauda
Lineage: Eukaryota; Metazoa; Arthropoda; Arachnida; Scorpiones; Buthidae
Source: RNAcentral
CGGACGAAGUAGUCAGCUGAUUCGGCCGCAUUACAAAACAUCAAACAGAUGGAUUAACCAGAAACGAAUGAAUUAAAUGCAGAAUACGUUUAGCAAAACAGAAGAUUAAAAAUGGGCUGCAUAUGUACAUUUUUCAGAAGCUUAACAAAUUAUCAUGGAAGUCAUUUGACACCACAACAAUUAGAGAAACAAAGAAGGCAACGUGCUUGUAAAGCUAAUUCCCAACCUCUUAGAGAUGAUCCAAAUUUUGAAAUAGAAAAGUCUAGAUAUCUCUCUCUUAAAUCUACACAACCUUCUGAAGAUGACAGGUUACUAACUUCUAGAUUAAUAGACAACAACAAGCCUUCAUCUCAGCAUAAAAAGCAUGUUACAUUCUAUUAAAGCUCAAACAAAAUAUCUUCUUUGAUAUUUGUUAAUUGGCAAAUUUUGUCU